CCUCUCCCUCUCCUUCUGUACUCUUCCCCUCUCAUAUCCUUUGUCUCUUUUUAUCUUUUGGUGCCUUCACGAUUUGGUUACUAAUUUGUAAGAGCACUUUAGAAAUUAAGACUAUUAACCCUCAUAUACGUUGCAAAUGCUUUCCUAGCCCAUCUUUUUAAAUUGCAUUAUUUUUUCUAGAGAAGUUUUGCAUUUGUAGGUAAUCACAUCUGCCUUUUCCCUCAGCCUUUGCAUGAAUGCUUUAAAAGGUCUUACCCACCCAAAGACCAGAUAAAUAUUGACUUCUAUUUCCUUCUUCUGUGUUAGUUUUGUUUUGUCAAUUUCAACAAAUCCAUGUCUUAAAUGAGUCUUCUGUGUUAAAAAGACAACUAGAAUGGUGAAGGCAGCCUCAGUUGCAGUUGUGGUCGAGAGGGAUAUGGUCAGGGCAAUGAUUCUAACCCUUUUCUGCCUCCACAUGGUCCAGCUGUACAGCCUGUGCCCAUCAGUAAUCGCUCUCAUUGUGCACCAUGAUUCGCAGCUGGGGUGAAGGGAAUGGGAGCACUCCCGGCUCAGCUGAGACUCCCUGGUGGAGACUGAAAGGGAAGGACGUACUUAGCAGAAGUCAGUUAGCAGUGGUUGAUGGGCUCUGGGUGAUGAGCAAAGUAACCAGUGACUCCCCAGUUUUGAGAGACUGGGUAGAUCAUCACUCUGUUAGUCUAGACUGUGGAGACUGGCCUUAGGAAGGAGGGAAGGAGCACAGAAGAUGAUGUAGACAGCUUAGGACUUACUCCUUUUGGAAGGCUGUGAGUCAGGUCAGGUGGAGCUGUUCAUGCAGUGUCUGCACCAGGGAAGAAAGAUCUGGAAGCCAGCUGCUUAAAGGAAGUCGAAGCAGUGGGAGGGAAUGAAACAGCCCAUGUGCGGAGAACCAGAAGAAGAACAUGGUCCAACAGGAACUCUGGGGAACACUAAAAUUCAAGCAGUGAGAGAGGGGGCGUUGAAGAGGGGAAAUAAGCACAAGGGACUAAGAAGAAAUUGUCAAGGAAGGAAGAGAACCAGAAGAUAGUGGUGCCAAGAGAAAAAGAGUUUCAAGGAUAGAGAAUGGUCUCCAGCAUUGGAAUUUUCUAGCACAAUACCAGGGUUCUGCACUGUACAGUCAAAACCUACAUCCUUUCUCAGCUGCCAUUAGACUCCCUGUUCUUAAAUAUCAGACCCGUUCAUAGCUCCUUGUUGUUGCCCACAAUGAUAGUCCCCCCCCCAACCAGCUCUCCACCUGGUAAGCCACUCAUCUUCCAAGAGCAGCCUCAGAUACCCACCGCUCCAAUACGUCCUAUAGUUGAGACCAGGGCAUAGACCCCUGCCACCCAGAAGUCGCUCGUCACCAGACGUCAGCCGCUCAGUGCUCAGUUAGAGUGCAUAAAAUAUUUUCAGUGUCAGAAACUCUGUGAGAUCUCAUUUGUAACUCUACGCUCAUUCUGUUUCACGGAUAUUAUUAAGAAGAAAUGGCUGUGAAUUGAAUGAAAAGAUUAUUUUUAAAUUAUUUCACAUUUAUUAUUUCUCUUCCUUUUAUUAUAGGCUAUCCCCAGAUGCUUUUUAGAAGGAAGGUAGGGUGUGUUUAUAAGUACCUUUUAAAAGUAGUUAGAAAACAAAUCCAUAAAGACUGAAAAUGUUGGGCUCUGUGACCUGCUUGUUUUUAAUGAUGCCGUAUUACAGAGGCCUUACUAAUCCUGUGUGAUUAAGUGUGGAAAUUUUUGCUUUAAUCUUUGCAACAGGUUAGAUCACGAGACAGUGAACACCAAAAAAAAAGAAGGAAAGAAAGAGAAAAAAAAUCACUGCUACUGAAAAUGUUUGAUACCAAAUAUUGUUUAAAUCAUUGCAGGAAGCUUUGAAAAUCAUUUUGUUGCAUUUGGUAAUUAAAAGGAGACUUGACCUAAUAUCUUAUAAAUACUGGGCUCUAAAUCGUCUACAAAAUAGUCACUAUCCUAAAACACUAAGUUAGAAACAUUUUUGUAGAUUUUCUGCACUUUACAUUUUCAGCUCACAGUACUCCUGUUAGGUGAGUAACGGGAUUCACGGUAACCUCCGUGUGACAGGUGAGGGAGAUGAGACGCCUGCCCCACGUCACAGAUCGUAAACGUCCACCUACAUCACAGACCUUGCCACCGAAGAGCUUAGAAUCAAAGCAGAGGCAGGUGGACGUUUGUAAGAACAGAAAACUCCCAUGAGCAGAAAGCAACACCCUUAACUCACCAUAGGGCUUCAUGAGGUUGGAAGGUCAGUGUCGAGCUCCUCUUGUGACCUCGCUCACGUUUUCAGAAGGUAGCC
Long non-coding RNA from Mustela erminea (ermine), 2301 nucleotides. RefSeq lists it as uncharacterized. The transcript has 2 exons. NCBI's taxonomy places the organism in Eukaryota, Metazoa, Chordata, Mammalia, Carnivora, Mustelidae. The record is from RefSeq and is a predicted model, not a curated record.